GAUGAACGCUGGCGGCGUGCUUAACACAUGCAAGUCGAACGGGAUCCAAGGGGUGCUUGCACUUUUUGGUGAGAGUGGCGAACGGGUGAGUAACACGUGAGUAACCUGUCCUUUUCUUUGGGAUAAGCAUUCGAAAGGGUGUUUAAUACCUUAUGUUCUGUCUGCCUCGCAUGGGGUGGGUGGUAAAGGCUUUGGCCGGAUUUGGGUGGGCUCGCGGGCUAUCAGCUUGUUGGUGGGGUGAUGGCUUACCAAGGCUUUGACGGGUCGCCGGCCUGAGCGGGUGGUCGGUCAUAUUGGGACUGAGAGACGGUCCAGACUCCUGCGGGAGGCAGCAGUGGGGGAUAUUGCACAAUGGGCGAAAGCCUGAUGCAGCGACGCCGCGUGGGGGAUGAAGGCCGUCGGGGUGUAAACUUCUGUUGCUCUGAACAAGGCAUGCCAGUGGGUGUGUUGAGUGUAGGGGUUGAUUAGCGCCGGCUAACUACGUG
Molecule: ribosomal RNA, 485 nt
Filed under: uncultured bacterium
Lineage: Bacteria
Description: partial 16S ribosomal RNA
Rfam family: Bacterial small subunit ribosomal RNA
Source: RNAcentral